UAAGUCACGUUUAAUAGGAAAAAUAAAAAUCAUUGUUUAUUUCGCAUAAUCUUUUCCUAUUUAUUCAUUGGGUUUAAUUAAAUAAUUAUAAUUGAUUAAAACAGAAUUGAUAUGAUAUAUACAUAUAUAUAUAUGUAUGUGUGUGUGUGUGUAUGUGUGAACGAGUUACGCGUGGAUGCUUAGCUCUCGUUUGGAUUUCAUUUUAGAAGCGAAUAAAAUGGUCCCCCGAUUUGUGAAGGAGAGUAAGAGAGACACACACACUCAAAGAGAGAGAGAGAGAGAGAGAGAGAGAGAGAGAGAGAGAGAGAGAGAAGAGAAGAGAUAGGGAGAAGAAAAUGGACAGAGAAGCAAAGGAACGAAAAGCAAUGUACGAACGAGAGACGGACGGAUACACGAUGAAAAGAGAGGGACGAAGAAAGAUACCGGCUGGCAAGCAGAUGGUAGCCUCGUUUAUUGGUUUACUCGUCGGCUCGCUGCCCCUCCGGCCAUGAAACGAGACUUUAGAACGAGUGUCGUUUCUCUUUGUAGCAGAGAGAGUGACCCGGCGACCUUCGACGGAAAUCGAUGAACGACGAGAAUGGAUUCAGUGACUCGAUCGAAGCAGGAUACCAUCGAUGUAGAACGCAUCUUUUUACCUUCCAUACAUUCAUCGAACGUUCAUUCAAGAAGGGGACGAAGAGAAGACGAGGAGAACGAUAGUGGUGGAUAUAGUAGCUGACAUUAAGAGAGUAUCUUUGUGUGUGUAUGUGUAUAAAAGAGAGUGGGAGAGAGACAGAGAGAGAGAGAGAGAGAGAAGUAUACGCACAGAUAUACAGACGCAGCCAUCAAAUAAUGGCGUCGUGGGGGCGGAUAGCCGUUGCCGGGUCGAUAGGAGGAAGGCCCUUGACCUGCAAAACUCCGACUGCCGUCCCACCGUCGGCGUCGCUUUAACGAGGACCCUCGCUCAUUGGUUCCUGUAGACUUCUCCCUAGGGAAGAAAUUGUGAUUCACCUGCUUUAUUAAGUGAACGAACGGAAGACAAGAUAUGACCAAGUGACCUGGAAGUGCAAGGUGCGUUACGGCACGGUAUAUAAAACGAGCCGUUCAAGAAAGAGAAAAGGAAAGAACAUGAUGGAGAAGCCGACCUUGCUACGAUCAGCUGUGUCAUCCUUGGGCCGUUAACGCUCAGGUGGUUUCGAUCUCAGGGCCGAGCAUCAAUCAUCAUUGGUAGUGCAAGGCGUGAUGUGAUUAUUGUCACUAAGAUACUCCGCUACGAUAUAACAAUCACGAAAGUGUGCCAAGUGACAUAACAGGGUUUAUCUUUAACGGUGAAUCUUAAGCAUCAAAUAAAACAGGCCUAAUAUUGUAGCCUCCCAUUAUGUUCUAUUCAUUGAGAUCCAGAUUAUGGUCUUCCUUACGAAAGAAAUAUGUUUGAAAGGGAUUUAAAUACAAAAGAGAAAAAAAAAGGAAUGAAUAAAUGCGUUUAUUAAGUCGAUGGAAAAAAAAAAAUUUAUCGAAAGUAUACAAUUUUUAUCUAAUCCGCUUACACAAGGGGAUAAUAUUGAUACAAAAUCUCAUAGAAUUUUGAUAUGUAUCAAUGUAGUUAAUGAAAAUGACACGAAUCGAAUAACACGAAUAAAUUAAAGGACAUAACGAAAGCAAAGUAGAUUCGAAAUUAUUGUAAAAAAAUGAUAACACUAUAUCUUACAAUUGCAAAAACGAAAUGCAUAUUUUUUUACGAAGAUAUUGAUUCACUUAUUGUCAUUUUCUUACUAAUUAGUAUUUCGUUUCUUAUCAAUGACAUUUAAAUAUCAUUUAAAAGAAUUAAGAAUAAGAGGUAAAUAUGCAUAAGCGUAAAAUGACCGAUUAAAGCGGUCAUUGUAAGACAAUUAAGUUAUCGCAAUAUAAUACAAUACAUUUCCAUUCUAUAUUAACAACAAAGAUAUUCUCGAAGAUUUUAGAAUCUGAUUUCAGGAGCGAGUUUAAUAACAGCGAACUCCCUCCCUGCAUCAUGGCAGGAUGACUCGACGAAGUCAGAGUCUGUUUUCGAAUGACUUGGCACUACGAAGAGAAGAUCUGGGCUAGUGAGAUCGCCAAUUUCAGUUGCUGCCAAUAACAUCUUUGGCCGAGAAUCGAUAUCGAGAUAGAUAGUAUGUGUAAUGCCACUGUGAUCGAUGCAAUAAGAAAUAAUUACCUCAGCAGAAAUAUUACAAUUUUCUUUAUAAUCGUUAAUGGACGAUGAUUCCUGAUCGAACACUGGGCCAACACAGAAGUCAAAAACCGGCACGUAGACGUAUACGCAUAAUAUUAUACAUAUAUGUCAUAAAUUAUAAAUUGGAAAUAACCUGCGAAGCGAAAAGACGAUGAUAGAAAUAUUUAUUCUGUUUUUGUUAAAUGUAACAAACGAUUUGUGCCGUUUAUAACAAAGGCCCAGUUAAUGCUCUACAUCUACCCUGUAGAUCCGAAUUUGUUUGAUAAGAGGCGACAAAUUCGGUUCUAGAGAGGUUUGUG
Molecule: long non-coding RNA, 2490 nt
Organism: Vespa crabro (European hornet)
Lineage: Eukaryota; Metazoa; Arthropoda; Insecta; Hymenoptera; Vespidae
Exons: 6
Source: RefSeq, a predicted model, not a curated record